This is a non-coding RNA of Bos taurus (domestic cattle), 80 nucleotides long. Lineage: Eukaryota; Metazoa; Chordata; Mammalia; Artiodactyla; Bovidae. The record is from Rfam.
UCCCAGGUGGCUCAGUGGUAAAGAAUCUGCCUGCCAAGCAGGACACACAGGAAAUGCUGGUUCAAUCCUUGACUUGGGAA